RNAcentral lists this transfer RNA (74 nucleotides) under Marmota monax (woodchuck). Its description in RNAcentral is "tRNA.Sup". Lineage: Eukaryota; Metazoa; Chordata; Mammalia; Rodentia; Sciuridae. The record is from RNAcentral.
GGGAGUGUAGCUUAGUGGUACAGUGCUUACCUCUAGCAUGUGCAAGACCCCAGGUUCAAGUUCUGUCACUGCCC